RNAcentral lists this ribosomal RNA (494 nucleotides) under uncultured bacterium. Its description in RNAcentral is "partial 16S ribosomal RNA". It matches the Rfam family "Bacterial small subunit ribosomal RNA", at positions 28 to 507 of the family's 1533-position model. The record is from RNAcentral.
GACGAACGCUGGCGGCGCGCUUAACACAUGCAAGUCGAACGGAAAGGCCUGCUUUCCCUUGUGGAUUGCGGGUACUCGAGUGGCGAACGGGUGAGUAACACGUGAGUGAUCUGCCCCCAACUUGGGUAUAAGCCUGGGAAACUGGGUCUAAUUCCCGAUAGGACUGCAGGGUGGUGCCUGUGGUGGAAAACGAUUUUCUAGUGGUUGGGGAUGAGCUCGCGGCCUAUCAGCUUGUUGGUGGGGUAAUGGCCUACCAAGGUGGCGACGGGUAGCCGGCCUGAGAGGGUGGACGGCCACAUUGGGACUGAGAUACGGCCCAGACUCCUACGGGAGGCAGCAGUGGGGAAUAUUGCACAAUGGGCGGAAGCCUGAUGCAGCGACGCCGCGUGGGGGAUGACGGCCUUCGGGUGGUAAACUCCUUUCGACCGCGAGGAAGCCACCUGGUUGGAAGGGUGGUGACGGUAGUGGUAGAAGAAGCACCGGCUAACUACGUG